Molecule: non-coding RNA, 313 nt
Organism: Oryctolagus cuniculus (rabbit)
Lineage: Eukaryota; Metazoa; Chordata; Mammalia; Lagomorpha; Leporidae
Rfam family: 7SK RNA
About the family: 7SK was discovered as an abundant small nuclear RNA in the mid-70s but a possible function has only recently been suggested. Two independent studies have found that 7SK RNA binds the CDK9/cyclin T complex (known as elongation factor P-TEFb).
Source: Rfam
GGAUGUGAGGGCGAUCUGCCUGUGAUCUCUGCCACCCCAUUGAUCGCCAGGGUUGAUUCAGCUGAUCUGGCUGGCUAGGCGGGUGUCCCCUUCCUCCUUCACCUUCCAGGUCCCUCCUGAAGCUGCGUGCUCAGUGGAAGAGGACAACCUUCCCCGCUAGAGGAGGACCGGUCUUCGGUCAAGGGUAUAUGAGUAGCUGCGCUCCCCUGCUAGAACCUCCAAACAAGCUCUCAAAUAGUUAGAAAUUAAAAGCAAAACAAUAGAGAGUCCAGUAAAAAACCCAAACAUAUUUGAAUAUAGUCUUUGGGUUUUU